UACGCAGCAAGAGAUAACUGAUGCAAUCC
Molecule: non-coding RNA, 29 nt
Filed under: Mus musculus (house mouse)
Lineage: Eukaryota; Metazoa; Chordata; Mammalia; Rodentia; Muridae
Source: RNAcentral